RNAcentral lists this ribosomal RNA (253 nucleotides) under uncultured bacterium. RNAcentral describes it as "partial 16S ribosomal RNA". It matches the Rfam family "Bacterial small subunit ribosomal RNA", at positions 524 to 776 of the family's 1533-position model. The record is from RNAcentral.
UACGAAGGGGGCUAGCGUUGCUCGGAAUCACUGGGCGUAAAGGGUGCGUAGGCGGGUUUUUAAGUCAGGGGUGAAAUCCUGGAGCUCAACUCCAGAACUGCCUUUGAUACUGAGAAUCUUGAGUACGGGAGAGGUGAGUGGAACUGCGAGUGUAGAGGUGAAAUUCGUAGAUAUUCGCAAGAACACCAGUGGCGAAGGCGGCUCACUGGCCCGUUACUGACGCUGAGGCACGAAAGCGUGGGGAGCAAACAGG